GAAGAAAAAGAAAGGGGAAAUGAGGGAGAGGCACUAAUGAUUCAUUUCACUGCAACAUGUGACCCAACUUAGGAAACAGCCAACCAACCAAACCAAACCAAAAAAAAAACGCGGAUGAAAAGCAUCACAGCUUCUUCAACUAAGUGAUGGAUUCUUCUUCUUUUCCCCUUUCUUUUUCUUUC
RNAcentral lists this microRNA precursor (182 nucleotides) under Trypanosoma congolense IL3000. Lineage: Eukaryota; Euglenozoa; Kinetoplastea; Trypanosomatida; Trypanosomatidae. The record is from RNAcentral.